GGAAAAGAAACCAACAGGGAUUGCCUCAGUAACGGCGAGUGAAGCGGCAACAGCUCAAAUUUGAAAUCUGGAGUCUUCGGCUUCCGAGUUGUAAUUUGAAGAGGAUGUUUCGGUGCGACCUGGGCCUAAGUUCCUUGGAACAGGACGUCAUGGAGGGUGAGAAUCCCGUACAUGGCUGCAGGUUUGCUUCUAUGUGAAACUCCUUCGAAGAGUCGAGUUGUUUGGGAAUGCAGCUCAAAAUGGGUGGUAAAUUUCAUCUAAAGCUAAAUAUUGGCGGGAGACCGAUAGCGCACAAGUAGAGUGAUCGAAAGAUGAAAAGCACUUUGAAAAGAGAGUUAAACAGUACGUGAAAUUGUUGAAAGGGAAGCGCUUGCAAUCAGACUCGCCUUCAGCUGAUCAACCUUCCUUCUGGUUGGUGCACUCUGCUGUUGGCGGGCCAGCAUCAGUUGGGGCGGCGGGAUAAAGGCGGCAGGAAUGUGGCUCGUUUCGGCGAGUGUUAUAGCCUGCUGUGUCAUGCCGCCAGCCCCGACUGAGGUCCGCGGUUCGCCUAGGAUGCUGGCUUAAUGGUUGUAAGCGACCCGUCUUGAAACACGGACCAAGGAGUCUAACAUCUAUGCGAGUCUUUGGGUGUAAAACCCAUGGGCGAAAUGAAAGUGAACGGAGGUGGGAGUCUUCGGAUGCACCAUCGACCGAUCCUGAUGUUCUCGGAUGGAUUUGAGUAUGAGCAUAGCUGUUGGGACCCGAAAGAUGGUGAACUAUGCCUGAAUAGGGUGAAGCCAGAGGAAACUCUGGUGGAGGCUCGCAGCGGUUCUGACGUGCAAAUCGAUCGUCAAAUUUGGGUAUAGGGGCGAAAGACUAAUCGAACCAUCUAGUAGCUGGUUCCUAAA
RNAcentral lists this ribosomal RNA (887 nucleotides) under Monacrosporium appendiculatum. Its description in RNAcentral is "LSU rRNA". It matches the Rfam family "Eukaryotic large subunit ribosomal RNA", at positions 55 to 962 of the family's 3401-position model. The record is from RNAcentral. Lineage: Eukaryota; Fungi; Ascomycota; Orbiliomycetes; Orbiliales; Orbiliaceae.